RNAcentral lists this non-coding RNA (45 nucleotides) under Schistosoma haematobium. The record is from RNAcentral. Lineage: Eukaryota; Metazoa; Platyhelminthes; Trematoda; Strigeidida; Schistosomatidae.
CUUAUGUUGACGAGUCCCAAACAGGACGAAACGCGCGUCCUGGAU